This 495-nucleotide long non-coding RNA is filed under the name Anas platyrhynchos platyrhynchos (common mallard). RNAcentral describes it as "lncRNA (ENSAPLG00000019808.1)". Lineage: Eukaryota; Metazoa; Chordata; Aves; Anseriformes; Anatidae. The record is from RNAcentral.
ACCUGUCUUUGAGAACAAACAGUACUUGCAUAAUUGUUUAACAUCCCAUUUAUUUACACUAACAGUUUACACAUCUCUUCAGGAAAAAGAAAANNNNNNNNNNAGGAGAGGAGAGGAGAGGAGAGGAGAGGAGAGGAGAGGAGAGGAGAGGAGAGGAGAGGAGAGGAGAGGAGAGGAGAGGAGAGGAGAGGAGAGGAGAGGAGAGUCAACAAUAUUCGAAAGUUUUUUGUAAUGAUUCUGCUGGACCUGAGCAAGGCCAGUGACACAGACUUGGAGAUGGUAGCUAGGUCCAACCAAGAAUCUGGAUCAGAAUGCACUACAAUGUGAUGAAGCAGGUGUGAGAUCAAACCAGCAGACUCCACAGGCUUCUACAAGUUAAGAACAAUCAAAACUGAUGCUACAGUAAGCUGUUCAUCUGAAUACUCCCAGAAGAUAAUUUUCACUGAAAAUUUUCUUUAAAUAACAAGUAUUUAUACUAAAUAAAUCUAACAAAAA